CUCACCAAGGAGAAGCAAGAAAAAGGAAGAACAAAACCCUAGGUGAAAAAAUUCAAGGGAAAAGUGUGAAAAUUCAAGGAAACAAGUGAUAAAAGGUUAGAUUUUUUCAAUUAAGCUUGAGAUCUCUCUUUCUUAAGCAUUUUUUUCUUAUUUUCCAUGGUUGAAUCACAUGAAAUCAUGAUGAAUCCCUUGCUGGCCGAACACUUGGAGGGAGGUUUUGAUGCUUAAUUUGGUUAUAUUUCAAUGUAUUUUAGUGUUUUUAGUUAGUUAGUGAUGUGUAGCAUGGAAAUCAAGCAAGAAAAAUUCAUGUUCUUCCAUAACCCUUAUUGGCCGUAUUCUCCAUGUGGAAUAUUGAUGAUGAUUUUGAAUUUAUUUCAAGUGAUUUGGUUAGGAAUUAGUGAUUUAUGGUGUGAGAAUCAAGCUUGAAAAAUUAUAUUGUUAGUGAACCCACCAUGGCCGAAAUUCCCAAGAGAAAAUGUGAAGAUGAUUUUGCCAUAUUUCAAGUUAUUUAAUUUGUGUUUGAUGAUUUGGAGUAUUGGGAGAGAAAUGGAAUUAUUUGGAGUUGAAUUGGACGUAUUGGCCAAUUAAUCGGGUGAUAGAUCGAAUUAGGCCAAUAUCGUUUUAUUUAGGUACACAAUUGAAUUUGUGUAGAAUACCGUGUUUAGACGAUAAUCUAAACAAUUUACAUCCCAUUUCAUGCAUUAGUAUAAAGCCUGAAUUGGUUUUACAACGGUUUAGCAUAAAUGUAGAAAAUGGCUUAUUGUGCAUUAUGUUUAGGUGGUGAGCAUUCUGGCAAAAGUAAAGAGAUAAUACCCGAGGAUCAAGAAUCAGAGUCCUCGAAAUUUGACUCCCGAAAUAGUGAGUAACCUUACUAUCAUCUUAAUUAUCUAAAGUGGUUUUUAUCUGAUUUUAUGAUUUUAUGGAAAAUGAGUUAAAUGGUAAAUCUUUGUGUUUUGUAAUUAAAAUGUGAUUUAAUGAAAUGAUUUUAUAAAAUUGUCUUGAAAUUGAAAGAUGGUUUUGAAAAUGGAGUAAUUGGAGAAUAAUUGUUGUGUUAUAAAUCAUGGUUUGAAUUGAAUGGCUUUUGAUAAUAUUGGCAUGAAUGGUUCAAUUGGUAAAUGUACUGAAAAUGUAUGAACUGGUGAUUUGCCUUGAGAGGCUGUAAAAUAAAAUAAUUGACAUGUCAUGCUAUCGCAAAUUUUAUUGUAUGGUGGGUUUAGCUUGCUGCAGUGAGCGAGUUCCGUGGACCAACCUAUUAGAGGGGCACGGUAACCCCGUUAUAUUCUUACCUCGGUCGGAGAGGCGUGUAGGGUAACUCUUGAGGUACAACUUUAGAGUUCACUUCACGCCAAACCACCACGUGAGGGUGAACUCAGUCAAUACCAAGGAAUGGCUAUGUUUUCAAAAUAAAAACAUGAUUUAUGCGUACAUGAUUUUUUUUUAUUAACAGCCUUAGCGGACUCGGUUGGGAUAGCCCCAAGCCAAGGUAUCCGAGCCAACCGAGUAUAAGAAUGAUUUUGGCAUGAGCCGAAGUUUUAAGAAAUUCAUAAGCCAUUUUGAUUACUCGAUUUAUAUGAAUUGAUUUUAUUUAGUUGAAAUGAGUUGAAAGGUGAUGAAUUACAGUAUGAUGAUCUAUUUCAAUCUAUCUCCAUUUACUCAGCUUUAGACAUUUUAGAUGUUAUUUGUUUAUUCAUUGGGAUUAUAUAAUUUCACCAUCCUCAUUUCCACUCAUUUCAGGCUCAAGAUAGUCGAUAAAUAGCUCAUUUCGUUGAGGGCUACAGUUGGACUUGCAUCCUCAAAAACUGUAGGUUUACCGUUUUUGAUACUUUUGGUCGUUCGUGGGCCCACAUGUCACUAUAAAUUAAAUGUUAUGCUUUGGUUAUCUAUAUUACAAUAUGUUUGAAUUUAUUUAGCUUUUACGUUACAAAAAUUAUUUACC
This 1936-nucleotide long non-coding RNA is filed under the name Theobroma cacao (cacao). RNAcentral describes it as "long non-coding RNA (TCAC_LNC001704)". The record is from RNAcentral. Lineage: Eukaryota; Viridiplantae; Streptophyta; Magnoliopsida; Malvales; Malvaceae.